CAUGAUGUUAUAUAAAACGUGCUGCUUAGACAUCGGGUGACAUAUCCCGCGAUAUUACCAUUGCAACACUGUAGAACCUGACCAACCCAUUCGUGUGAUCCUAACCACUGAUAAAAAUCGCAGCUAUGAAUGCCUCACAGAAAAUUGUUGUUUUUGUUGUAGCCGUUGCCAUGGCAAUGAUGCAAGUAGUGGUUGUGGCCGCUGAGGAGUGUCCAGGCGGCAUGGUGAUGCUGGAGAACGGCAUGUGCGGUGGUGGGGGAAAGUAAAUCGGCCAGAAGAAACAAAUAAAGCCAUUUCAGUGUACAGCAAUUUGAAAUAAAGGCUGUAUGAAAAUA
Lineus longissimus is the source of this 335-nucleotide long non-coding RNA. RefSeq lists it as uncharacterized. The transcript is spliced from 3 exons. Lineage: Eukaryota; Metazoa; Nemertea; Pilidiophora; Heteronemertea; Lineidae. The record is from RefSeq and is a predicted model, not a curated record.